AUUGAACGCUGGCGGCAGGCCUAACACAUGCAAGUCGAGCGGGUGAAUGGAGCUUGCUGCUGGAUGCAGCGGCGGACGGUUGAGUAAUGCCUAGGAAUCUGCCUGGAAGUGGGGGAUAACGUCCGGAAACGGGCGCUAAUACCGCAUACGUCCUGUGGGAGAAAGUGGGGGAGCUUCGGACCUCACGCUAUCAUAUUAGCAUAGGUCGGACUAGCUAGUUGGUGGGGUAACUGCCUAACAAGGCGACGAUCCGUAACUGGUCUGAGAGGAUGACCAGUCACACUGGCACUGAGACACGGUCCAGACUCCUACGCGAGGACGCAGUGCAGACUCUUGCACGAUGCACCAAAGGCUGAUCCAGGCAUGCCGCGUGUGUCCAGAAGGUCUUCGGCUUGUUAAGCACUUUAAGUUGGGAGGAAGGGCAGUACGUUAAUACCUUGCUGUUUUGACGUUACCAACAGAAUAAGCACCGGCUAACUUCGUG
This 484-nucleotide ribosomal RNA is filed under the name uncultured bacterium. RNAcentral's name for it is "partial 16S ribosomal RNA". It matches the Rfam family "Bacterial small subunit ribosomal RNA", at positions 30 to 507 of the family's 1533-position model. The record is from RNAcentral.